RNAcentral lists this ribosomal RNA (453 nucleotides) under Staphylococcus epidermidis NIHLM067. RNAcentral's name for it is "bacterial LSU rRNA". It matches the Rfam family "Bacterial large subunit ribosomal RNA", at positions 2470 to 2925 of the family's 2925-position model. The record is from RNAcentral. Lineage: Bacteria; Bacillati; Bacillota; Bacilli; Caryophanales; Staphylococcaceae.
GGGGAUAACAGGCUUAUCUCCCCCAAGAGUUCACAUCGACGGGGAGGUUUGGCACCUCGAUGUCGGCUCAUCGCAUCCUGGGGCUGUAGUCGGUCCCAAGGGUUGGGCUGUUCGCCCAUUAAAGCGGUACGCGAGCUGGGUUCAGAACGUCGUGAGACAGUUCGGUCCCUAUCCGUCGUGGGCGUAGGAAAUUUGAGAGGAGCUGUCCUUAGUACGAGAGGACCGGGAUGGACAUACCUCUGGUGUACCAGUUGUCGUGCCAACGGCAUAGCUGGGUAGCUAUGUAUGGACGGGAUAAGUGCUGAAAGCAUCUAAGCAUGAAGCCCCCCUCAAGAUGAGAUUUCCCAACUUCGGUUAUAAGAUCCCUCGAAGAUGACGAGGUUAAUAGGUUCGAGGUGGAAGCGUGGUGACACGUGGAGCUGACGAAUACUAAUCGAUCGAAGACUUAAUCAA